This 449-nucleotide ribosomal RNA is filed under the name uncultured bacterium. RNAcentral's name for it is "bacterial SSU rRNA". It matches the Rfam family "Bacterial small subunit ribosomal RNA", at positions 329 to 793 of the family's 1533-position model. The record is from RNAcentral.
GUCCAGACUCCUACGGGAGGCAGCAGUGGGGAAUAUUGCACAAUGGGGGAAACCCUGAUGCAGCGACGCCGCGUGAGUGAAGAAGUAUCUCGGUACGUAAAGCUCUAUCAGCAGGGAAGAAAAUGACGGUACCUGACCAAGAAGCCCCGGCUAACUACGUGCCAGCAGCCGCGGUAAUACGUAGGGGGCAAGCGUUAUCCGGAUUUACUGGGUGUAAAGGGAGCGUAGACGGCAGCGCAAGUCUGGAGUGAAAUGCCGGGGCCCAACCCCGGAACUGCUUUGGAAACUGUAUAUCUAGAGUGUCGGAGAGGCAAGUGGAAUUCCUGGUGUAGCGGUGAAAUGCGUAGAUAUCAGGAGGAACACCAGUGGCGAAGGCGGCUUGCUGGACGAUGACUGACGUUGAGGCUCGAAAGCGUGGGGAGCAAACAGGAUUAGAUACCCUGGUAAAG